RNAcentral lists this transfer RNA (74 nucleotides) under Gammaproteobacteria bacterium. RNAcentral's name for it is "tRNA-Cys". It matches the Rfam family "tRNA". Rfam says of the family: Transfer RNA (tRNA) molecules are approximately 80 nucleotides in length. Their secondary structure includes four short double-helical elements and three loops (D, anti-codon, and T loops). The record is from RNAcentral. Lineage: Bacteria; Pseudomonadati; Pseudomonadota; Gammaproteobacteria.
GGCGAGUUAGGAAAGCGGUUAUCCACGUGAUUGCAAAUCACUGUAGCUCGGUUCGACUCCGGGACUCGCCUCCA